This 1733-nucleotide ribosomal RNA is filed under the name Pallisentis sp. KR1. RNAcentral's name for it is "SSU rRNA". It matches the Rfam family "Eukaryotic small subunit ribosomal RNA". Lineage: Eukaryota; Metazoa; Acanthocephala; Eoacanthocephala; Gyracanthocephala; Quadrigyridae. The record is from RNAcentral.
GAGGCAAGUUGGAUGUAUGAAACCGCGAUGGCUCAUUACAUAAGUCUUGGUUUAUUAGAUCAUACGCAUCAAAUGGAUAACUGUGGAAAAUCUAGAGCUAAUACAUGCCGCGAAACUUCGACUUGCGAAGGAGUGCUUUUAUUAGAUCAAAGCCAAUGGCCCACUUGUGGGUCUUAUACUGUGCUGAUUCUGAAUAAAGUAAGCUGAUUGCAUUGCCAUUGAGUAGGUGACGUAUCUUUCAAGUGUCUUCCCUAUCAACUUUCGUUGGUACUUUAUAUGACUACCAUGGUCGUAACGGGUGACGGGGAAUCAGGGUUCGAUUCCGGAGAGAGAGCAUGAGAAACGGCUGUCACAUCCAAGGAAGGCAGCAGGCGCGCAAAUUACCCAAUCCUAGAUCGGGGAGGUAGUGACGAAAAAUAACGAUGCCGUGAUCUUAGGAUUCGGCAAUUGGAAUGAGAACAAUCAAAAUCCUUUAUCGAGGAUCAAUUGGAGGGCAAGUUCUGGUGCCAGCAGCCGCGGAUAGGGCAUUCCAGCACGAUAUAGCGUAUAUGUAAAUAUGCUGCGGUUAAAAAGCUAGUAGUUGGUCGUCAGGAGAUGAACUAGGGGCUACCAAAAUUGUGUAGUCAUACCCGAGAUUCGCUCCUUUAAAUACCACUCCUAUGUGACGCACUUUGAUGUGUGCUGCGUAUGGAUGGUAUGAUACUACUUUGAGAAAAUUAGCGUGCUCAACGCAGCGAUUCGCUUGUAUACUGUUGCAUGGAAUAAUGAGAAAGGACCUCGGUUCUGUUUCGUUGGUUUCCGGAAGCUGAGGUAAUGAUUGAUAGGGACAAACGGGGGCAUUCGUAUUGUGUGUUAGAAGGUGAAAUUCUGUGAUCACCGCAAGACGAACAACUGCGAAAGCAUUUGCCCAGAAUGUUUUCAUUAAUCAAGAACGAAAGUAGAGUUUCGAAGACGAUUAGAUACCGUCCUAGUUCUAACUAUAAACUAUGCCAACUGGGCAUCUGGCGGUAGCACAUAAGGCAUCGGCAGGCACCCCGCGGGAAACCAAAGUUAUAGGGUUCAGGGAGGAGUAUGGUUGCAAAAUCGAAACUUAAAGGAAUUGACGGAGGGGCACACCAGAAGUGGAGCCUGCGGCUCAAUUUGACUCAACGCACGAAAACUUACGUCAAUCCUGGAACACCGUGAGGACUCGACAGCGUUGAAAGCUCUUUCUUGAUUCGGUGUGGUGGUGGUGCAUGGCCGUUCGUAGUUGGUGGAGUGAUUUGUCUGGUUUAUUCCGAUAACGAACGAGACUCUAGCCUAUUAAUUAGUGUGGCGAGUGACGACUUUAUUGGUCUUGCCGCCUGAACACUUCUUAGAGGGACAAGUACUGUAAAGUGCUGGAAGAUGAGCAAUAACAGGUCUGUGAUGCCCUUAGAUGUUCGAGGCUGCACGCGCGCUACAAUGGAGGCUUCAAAAAGUAGUUAUCCUGGUUUGAAAAGAUCGGGGAAUCAAAAAUAGCCUUCACGAUUGGGAUCGGAGAUUGUAAUUAUUCUUCGUGAAAGAGGAAUUCCUAGUAAACGCGAAUCAUUAUUUCGCGUUGAAUAAGUCCCUGCCCUUUGUACACACCGCCCGUCGCUACUACCGAUCGAAUGGUCUAGUGAGGUUUCCGGAUAGGUUGCAUGGAGCCAAAAGCUCCACUGUAUAUUCUAAAAGCUGACCGAACUAACCAUUAGAGUAAGUAAAACUGGUAC